Molecule: transfer RNA, 65 nt
Filed under: Glyptelasma annandalei
Lineage: Eukaryota; Metazoa; Arthropoda; Thecostraca; Poecilasmatidae
Description: tRNA-Phe
Rfam family: tRNA
About the family: Transfer RNA (tRNA) molecules are approximately 80 nucleotides in length.
Source: RNAcentral
AUUAAAAUAGCUCAAUAAUUAGAGUAUUGCAUUGAAGCUGCAAAGGUGAUAGUAAUCUUUUAAUA